AACGAACGCUGGCGGCAGGCCUAACACAUGCAAGUCGAGCGCACUCUUCGGAGUGAGCGGCGGACGGGUUAGUAACGCGUGGGAACGUACCCAGAUCUAAGGAAUAGCCACUGGAAACGGUGAGUAAUACCUUAUACGCCCUUCGGGGGAAAGAUUUAUCGGAUUUGGAUCGGCCCGCGUUAGAUUAGAUAGUUGGUGGGGUAACGGCCUACCAAGUCUACGAUCUAUAGCUGGUUUUAGAGGAUGAUCAGCAACACUGGGACUGAGACACGGCCCAGACUCCUACGGGAGGCAGCAGUGGGGAAUCUUGGACAAUGGGCGCAAGCCUGAUCCAGCCAUGCCGCGUGAGUGAUGAAGGCCUUAGGGUCGUAAAGCUCUUUCGCCUGUGAUGAUAAUGACAGUAGCAGGUAAAGAAACCCCGGCUAACUCCGUG
Molecule: ribosomal RNA, 433 nt
Filed under: uncultured organism
Description: bacterial SSU rRNA
Rfam family: Bacterial small subunit ribosomal RNA
Source: RNAcentral